RNAcentral lists this ribosomal RNA (663 nucleotides) under Microbacterium sp. Its description in RNAcentral is "bacterial SSU rRNA". It matches the Rfam family "Bacterial small subunit ribosomal RNA", at positions 103 to 781 of the family's 1533-position model. Lineage: Bacteria; Bacillati; Actinomycetota; Actinomycetes; Micrococcales; Microbacteriaceae. The record is from RNAcentral.
CGGGUGAGUAACACGUGAGCAACCUGCCCUGGACUCUGGGAUAAGCGCUGGAAACGGCGUCUAAUACUGGAUAUGAGGCGUGACCGCAUGGUCAUGUUUGGAAAGAAUUUCGGUCUGGGAUGGGCUCGCGGCCUAUCAGCUUGUUGGUGAGGUAAUGGCUCACCAAGGCGUCGACGGGUAGCCGGCCUGAGAGGGUGACCGGCCACACUGGGACUGAGACACGGCCCAGACUCCUACGGGAGGCAGCAGUGGGGAAUAUUGCACAAUGGGCGGAAGCCUGAUGCAGCAACGCCGCGUGAGGGAUGACGGCCUUCGGGUUGUAAACCUCUUUUAGCAGGGAAGAAGCGAAAGUGACGGUACCUGCAGAAAAAGCGCCGGCUAACUACGUGCCAGCAGCCGCGGUAAUACGUAGGGCGCAAGCGUUAUCCGGAAUUAUUGGGCGUAAAGAGCUCGUAGGCGGUUUGUCGCGUCUGCUGUGAAAUCCCGAGGCUCAACCUCGGGCCUGCAGUGGGUACGGGCAGACUAGAGUGCGGUAGGGGAGAUUGGAAUUCCUGGUGUAGCGGUGGAAUGCGCAGAUAUCAGGAGGAACACCGAUGGCGAAGGCAGAUCUCUGGGCCGUAACUGACGCUGAGGAGCGAAAGGGUGGGGAGCAAACAGGCUUAG